ACAAUAAUACUUUAAGCAUACUAGCAUAGUAAUCAUGAACUUUUGAAAUAACAAGGCCAAAGAAAGUUAUCCCUACAAAAUCAUAUAGUCUGGCUAUGCUCCAUCAUCCCCACACAACGAAUUUAAAUCAUGCACAACCCCGGUAUUGGCCAAGUAAUUGUUUUUUCACUCUUACUUUCUCAAACUUUUUGAACUCUCACGCAAUACAUGAGCGUGAGCCAUGGAUAUAGCACUAUAGGUGGAAUAGAGUGUGGUAGAGGUUGUGAGGCAAAAAGGAGGAGAUGGUCACAUUGACUCGGCGUAUCAAUGGGCUAUGGAUACACCCAUCAAUAGAUAUCAAUGUGAAUGAGUAGGAAUUGCCAUGCAACAGAUGCACUAGAGCUAUAAGUGUAUGGAAGCUCAAAAAGAAAACUAGUGGGUGUGCACCUAACUUGCUUGCUCACGAAGACCUAGGGCAAUUUUGAGGAAGCCCGUCAUUUGGAAUAUACAAGCCAAGUUAUAAAAUGAAAAUUCCCACUAGUAUAUGGAAGUGACAAAACAAGAGACUCUCUAUCAUGAAGAACAUGGUGCUAUUUUGAAGCACAAGUGUGGAAAAAGAUAGUAGCAUUUUGUCACGCCCAAGAUGCGACCCUAUCCUCAAUUUGGCACGAAGGCCUCGUCAGGGAUAGAAGCGCAUCUCGUCGUGUCGCAAUAAUGGAUAUCGUUACAAGUACAUGUACUGAAAAGAUGAGAUAUACAUAGAAUUGGCUUACAC
Molecule: long non-coding RNA, 754 nt
Filed under: Hordeum vulgare
Lineage: Eukaryota; Viridiplantae; Streptophyta; Magnoliopsida; Poales; Poaceae
Description: long non-coding RNA (HVUL_LNC020768)
Source: RNAcentral